CGGGCGGACGGGUGAGUAACGCGUGGGUAACCUACCCUGUACACACGGAUAACAUACCGAAAGGUAUGCUAAUACGGGAUAAUAUAUUUGAGAGGCAUCUCUUGAAUAUCAAAGGUGAGCCAGUACAGGAUGGACCCGCGCCUGAUUAGCUAGUUGGUAAGGUAACGGCUUACCAAGGCGACGAUCAGUAGCCGACCUGAGAGGGUGAUCGGCCACAUUGGAACUGAGACACGGUCCAA
RNAcentral lists this ribosomal RNA (239 nucleotides) under uncultured bacterium. RNAcentral describes it as "partial 16S ribosomal RNA". It matches the Rfam family "Bacterial small subunit ribosomal RNA", at positions 95 to 334 of the family's 1533-position model. The record is from RNAcentral.